Chelonia mydas (Green sea turtle) is the source of this 845-nucleotide non-coding RNA. The record is from the annotation of a RefSeq genome assembly. Lineage: Eukaryota; Metazoa; Chordata; Testudines; Cheloniidae.
GCAGACCUUCCACGGAUUGACUCUGCCUCGGUAUAUUCCUCUGCGAGGGACAGAAGAAACGGAGCUCACCAUGGCCUCAGAGAGUGGAACUGCUCUGUGGAGCCUUCUCCUCACCUUUGCUUUUCUCUUCUCCUGCUGCGAAGCCCAAGUGGUUCAGAGCCCCGAGUGGCUGGUUGCAGGGGAAGGGGAGGUCUCCACCAUGUCCUGCUCUUUCACCAGCGCUUACCAAACCUUCUACUGGUACCAGCAGCUGCCUGGGCAAGGGCCGACCCACCUGCUGACCACGAGCUCUAAUGACAAUGUCACUGUGGGGCGGUUCAUAGGCGAGCGCCUGGAAAGUGGGAAACGCAGCUCUCUGCACCUCACCGACUCCCAGCUGGGGGACUCAGGCAGCUACCUCUGCGCGGUGAGAGCACAGUGACACAGGCAGAGCUGGGCUCAGGGCAAAAACCCUCAGUUCUCUGGCAGGCAGCUUGGCGGACGAGGUGCGGGGCAGAUCCCCAGGUGGUUUAAAGCAGCGUAAUUCCAUGGCAGCCAAGGGGACAGAUGCUCAGCUGUUAUAAAUGGGCAGAGCUCCAUUGGAGUCAAUGGGCCAUAUCAUAAGGAUACGGAGAUUGGCACCGAGGUUGCAGAUCCUGGGACAGCUGUGUGAAGAUCAGCCUAAAUCUGGUGUCACUCCACAUGUGUUCAUUGUGGUGACUAGAUCACAACUAAAAAAAAAUCAUUUUCUUUCCUUUUUUUCCUCCACUUUCUACAGCAAAGUUUAUUACGAAACAUAACUAGAGAGAAACCAUCUUCUUGUGAGCUGUAGCUCACGAAAGCUUAUGCUCAAAUAAAUUUGUUAG